CUUCGCUCAGGCUCCAGGCUUCAAUUGUCAAAUACGGGGAGGGCCCGCUAUUAAAGACAGUCAGUUGAGGCAGUCCAAGUCAGCAGAUGAAGGGAAGGGGAAUUAAGACGAACAGGAAACCAGUCAAGAAGAUGGCAAAAAGGCUGCCUCCGUCAGGUGUGAUGUAAUUGAGCACUUUGCCUCUAGCCUCCAGCGCAUGCCGGGAGGCGCGCAACUCGUCAUCCUCUGCUGACGACCAUAUAUCUGCCACUGAGCGGCGCGCGACGCUCCCAUCCGAAAACGCGAUCAGUAGGCCACCUUUAGGCUCUGCUGAAAUUGGCGGCGUCAUUGUAAAGGAAACAUCCCCAAAGGACUUCCAAAGUGCAGUGCCAGAAUGAAUGGGGAAAUCAACCUGUGUACCCGUCGUUGGGCCUUCCCCAUCCAAAAUGACGCAGAUAAUUCUAGGAUACAACUCCUGGAGGGAGUCGGCAUCUGAAUUUUUUUGUUUACCCUCGUAGUAUGUCAACAGUAGUUUAGCUCCUGAACGACUGAAGGAACGGAUGCGGAUCCUAGCCCAGCCAUCUGCAAUACGUUCUUCAAUAGAGAACUGGAAUGCCGCCGUAAGGUCUCCAGCGUUCCAACGCUCAGAGCCAAAUAGCUCCAAGAUCUCCAACCAUCGGCGGUCGCGGACCCUUGCCGCUCGAGUAGAGCUGAAGCAAGUCUGCGAUAUGGAUUCCCGAUUUUCAGGGUUCCAAACCUCCUC
RNAcentral lists this small RNA (742 nucleotides) under Histoplasma capsulatum. Its description in RNAcentral is "hypothetical RNA". RNAcentral also lists the same sequence under 1 other name. Lineage: Eukaryota; Fungi; Ascomycota; Eurotiomycetes; Onygenales; Ajellomycetaceae. The record is from RNAcentral.